GCCCACAUAGCUCAGUAGGAUAGAGCAUGCGCCUUCUAAGCGUAGGGUCAGAAGUUCGAAUCUUCUUGUGGGCGCCA
This 77-nucleotide transfer RNA is filed under the name Spiroplasma sp. TIUS-1. RNAcentral describes it as "tRNA-Arg". It matches the Rfam family "tRNA". Rfam says of the family: Transfer RNA (tRNA) molecules are approximately 80 nucleotides in length. Their secondary structure includes four short double-helical elements and three loops (D, anti-codon, and T loops). Lineage: Bacteria; Bacillati; Mycoplasmatota; Mollicutes; Entomoplasmatales; Spiroplasmataceae. The record is from RNAcentral.